UAUGGAGGGUGCAAGCGUUGUCCGGAAUCACUGGGCGUAAAGGGCGCGUAGGCGGCUCAUGAAGGCUGUGGUGAAAGUCCGGGGCUCAACCUCGGAUCGGCCGUGGCGACUCGUGGGCUGGAGCACUGUAGAGGCGGGUGGAAUUCCGGGUGUAGCGGUGGAAUGCGUAGAGAUCCGGAAGAACACCAGUGGCGAAGGCGGCCCGCUGGGCAGUGGCUGACGCUGAGGUGCGAAAGCGUGGGGAGCAAACAGG
This 253-nucleotide ribosomal RNA is filed under the name uncultured bacterium. Its description in RNAcentral is "partial 16S ribosomal RNA". It matches the Rfam family "Bacterial small subunit ribosomal RNA", at positions 524 to 776 of the family's 1533-position model. The record is from RNAcentral.